GACGAACGCUGGCGGCGUGCUUAACACAUGCAAGUCGAGCGAGAAAGCACCUUCGGGUGUGAGUACAGCGGCGAACGGGUGAGUAACACGUGGGCAACCUGCCCCAGAGACUGGGAUAACGUCCCGAAAGGGACGCUAAUACCGGAUGAUGCGCGACCUGCCAAGUGGGUCGCGCCAAAUGGUAGCGUAAGCUUCUACUCUGGGAUGGGCCCGCGCCGGAUUAGCUUGUUGGUGAGGUAACGGCUCACCAAGGCGACGAUCCGUAGCUGGUCUGAGAGGACGAUCAGCCACACUGGGACUGAGACACGGCCCAGACUCCUACGGGUGGCAG
RNAcentral lists this ribosomal RNA (331 nucleotides) under uncultured Actinomycetes bacterium. RNAcentral describes it as "bacterial SSU rRNA". It matches the Rfam family "Bacterial small subunit ribosomal RNA", at positions 28 to 351 of the family's 1533-position model. Lineage: Bacteria; Bacillati; Actinomycetota; Actinomycetes. The record is from RNAcentral.